This 468-nucleotide ribosomal RNA is filed under the name uncultured bacterium. Its description in RNAcentral is "partial 16S ribosomal RNA". It matches the Rfam family "Bacterial small subunit ribosomal RNA", at positions 28 to 507 of the family's 1533-position model. The record is from RNAcentral.
GAUGAACGCUGGCGGCGUGCUUAACACAUGCAAGUCGAACGGAAAGGCCCUGCUCUUGUGGGGUUCUCGAUUGGCGAACGGGUGAGUAACACGUGAGUAACCUGCCCUUGUCUUUGUGAUAACUUCAGGAGACUGGGGCUAAUACCCGAUAGGAUCUCCUGCUGCAUGUGGUUGGUUGGAAAGUUUCGGCGGUUGGGGAUGGACUCGCUGCUUAUCGGCUUGUUUGUGGGGUAGUGGCGUACCAAGGCUUUGACGGGUAGCCGGCCUGAGAGGGUGAACGGGCACCUUGGGACUGCGAUACGGCCCAGAAUGCUACGGGAGGCAGCAGGGGGAAAUCUUGCACAAUGGGCGGAAGCCUGAUGCAGCAACGCCGCGUGCGGGAUGCCCGCUUUCGGGUUGUAAACCGAUUUCGCAGGUGCCGAAGAGUGAGUGACGGUAAUGGGUAAAGAAGCACCGGCUAACUACGUG